UAACACGUGGAUAACCUACCUAUAAGACUGGGAUAACUUCGUGAAACCGGAGCUAAUACCGGAUAAUAUUUUGAACCGCAUGGUUCAAAAGUGAAAGACUGUCUUGCUGUCACUUAUAGAUGGAUCCGCGCUGCAUUAGCUAGUUGGUAAGGUAACGGCUUACCAAGGCAACGAUGCAUAGCCGACCUGAGAGGGUGAUCGGCCACACUGGAACUGAGACACGGUCCAG
RNAcentral lists this ribosomal RNA (229 nucleotides) under uncultured Staphylococcus sp. RNAcentral's name for it is "partial 16S ribosomal RNA". It matches the Rfam family "Bacterial small subunit ribosomal RNA", at positions 111 to 334 of the family's 1533-position model. The record is from RNAcentral. Lineage: Bacteria; Bacillati; Bacillota; Bacilli; Caryophanales; Staphylococcaceae.